This 493-nucleotide ribosomal RNA is filed under the name uncultured bacterium. RNAcentral's name for it is "partial 16S ribosomal RNA". It matches the Rfam family "Bacterial small subunit ribosomal RNA", at positions 28 to 507 of the family's 1533-position model. The record is from RNAcentral.
GACGAACGCUGGCGGCGUGCUUAACACAUGCAAGUCGACGGAAAGGCCUGCUUUCCCUUGUGGAUUGCGGGUACUCGAGUGGCGAACGGGUGAGUAACACGUGAGUUAUCUGCCCCCCACUUGGGUAUAAGCCUGGGGAACUUGGUCUAAUUCCCGAUAGGACUGCAGGGUGGUGCCUGUGGUGGGAAACGAUUUUCUAGUGGUUGGGGAUGGGCUCGCGGCCUAUCAGCUUGGUGGUGGGGUAAUGGCCUACCAAGGCGGCGACGGGUAACCGGCCUGAGAGGGUGGACGGCCACAUUGGGACUGAGAUACGGCCCAGACUCCUACGGGAGGCAGCAGUGGGGAAUAUUGCACAAUGGGCGGAAGCCUGAUGCAGCGACGCCGCGUGGGGGAUGACGGCCUUCGGGUUGUAAACUCCUUUCGACCGCGAGGAAGCCACCUGGUUGGAAGGGUGGUGACGGUAGUGGUAGAAGAAGCACCGGCUAACUACGUG